AACUGAUACUACCUGCGGGAACUGCGGAAGGAUCAUUAGUGAACGCCCUCACGGGCUUAUAACUAUUCCAAACCUCUGUGAACCGUGCCCUUCGGGGCUAUUUUACAAACAUGGUGUAAUGAACGUCAUAUAUCAUAACAAAACAAAACUUUUAACAAUGGAUCUCU
This 167-nucleotide unclassified non-coding RNA is filed under the name soil metagenome. RNAcentral's name for it is "partial contains 5.8S ribosomal RNA, internal transcribed spacer 2, and large subunit ribosomal RNA". The record is from RNAcentral.